Molecule: ribosomal RNA, 472 nt
Filed under: uncultured bacterium
Lineage: Bacteria
Description: bacterial SSU rRNA
Rfam family: Bacterial small subunit ribosomal RNA
Source: RNAcentral
GGGCCCGCACAAGCGGUGGAGCAUGUGGUUUAAUUCGACGAUACGCGAAGAACCUUACCAGGGUUUGACAUUCACGUGGCGACGGCAGAGAUGUCGUUUUUCGGAUUUAUUCGGACACGUGGACAGGUGCUGCAUGGCUGUCGUCAGCUCGUGCUGUGAGGUGUUGGGUUAAGUCCCGCAACGAGCGCAACCCUUGUCCUUAGUUGCCAUCAGGUGAUGCUGGGCACUCUGGGGAGACCGCCCGGGUCGACCGGGAGGAAGGUGGGGAUGACGUCAAGUCAGCAUGGCCCUUACGUCCUGGGCUACACACGUGCUACAAUGGCCGGUACAACGAGUUGCUAAACCGCGAGGUCAAGCGAAUCUCUUAAAGCCGGUCUUAGUUCGGAUUAGAGGCUGCAAUUCGCCUCUAUGAAGUUGGAAUCGCUAGUAACCGCAGAUCAGCUACGCUGCGGUGAAUACGUUCCCGGGCCUU